Molecule: ribosomal RNA, 913 nt
Filed under: Spegazzinia radermacherae
Lineage: Eukaryota; Fungi; Ascomycota; Dothideomycetes; Pleosporales; Didymosphaeriaceae
Description: SSU rRNA
Rfam family: Eukaryotic small subunit ribosomal RNA
Source: RNAcentral
AAACCCCGACUUCGGGAGGGGUGUAUUUUUAGAUAAAAACCAACGCCCCUCGGGGCUCCUUGGUGAUUCAUAAUACUUUCUCAGAUCGCAUGGCCUUGCGCCGGCGACGGUUCAUUCAAAUUUCUGCCCUAUCAACUUUCGAUGGUAAGGUAGUGGCUUACCAUGGUUUCAACGGGUAACGGGGAAUUAGGGUUCGAUUCCGGAGAGGGAGCCGGAGGAACGGCUACCACAUCCAAGGAAGGCAGCAGGCGCGCAAAUUACCCAAUUCCGAUACGGAGAGGUAGUGACAAUAAAUACUGAUACAGGGCUCUUUUGGGUCUUGUAAUUGGAAUGAGUACAAUUUAAACCUCUUAACGAGGAACAAUUGGAGGGCAAGUCUGGUGCCAGCAGCCGCGGUAAUUCCAGCUCCAAUAGCGUAUAUUAAAGUUGUUGCAGUUAAAAAGCUCGUAGUUGAACCUUUGGCCUGGCUGGCAGGUCCGCCUCACCGCGUGCACUUGUCCGGCCGGGCCUUUUCUUCUGGGCAACCGCAUGCCCUUCACUGGGUGUGUUGGGGACCAGGACUUUUACUUUGAAAAAAUUAGAGUGUUCAAAGCAGGCCUUUGCUCGAAUACGUUAGCAUGGAAUAAUAGAAUAGGACGUGCGGUCCUAUUUUGUUGGUUUCUAGGACCGCCGUAAUGAUUAAUAGGGACAGUCGGGGGCAUCAGUAUUCAAUUGUCAGAGGUGAAAUUCUUGGAUUUAUUGAAGACUAACUACUGCGAAAGCAUUUGCCAAGGAUGUUUUCAUUAAUCAGUGAACGAAAGUUAGGGGAUCGAAGACGAUCAGAUACCGUCGUAGUCUUAACCAUAAACUAUGCCGACUAGGGAUCGGGCGGUGUUUCUAUUGUGACCCGCUCGGCACCUUACGAGAAAUCAAA